GUGGGGAAUAUUGCACAAUGGGCGAAAGCCUGAUGCAGCAACGCCGCGUGAAGGAAGAAGGUCUUCGGAUCGUAAACUUCUGUCCUAUGGGAAGAUAAUGACGGUACCAUAGGAGGAAGCCCCGGCUAACUACGUGCCAGCAGCCGCGGUAAUACGUAGGGGGCGAGCGUUAUCCGGAAUUAUUGGGCGUAAAGAGUGCGUAGGUGGUAACUUAAGCGCGGGGUUUAAGGCAAUGGCUUAACCAUUGUUCGCCCUGCGAACUGGGAUACUUGAGUGCAGGAGAGGAAAGCGGAAUUCCUAGUGUAGCGGUGAAAUGCGUAGAUAUUAGGAGGAACACCAGUGGCGAAGGCGGCUUUCUGGACUGAAACUGACACUGAGGCACGAAAGUGUGGGGAGCAAACAGGAUUAGAAACCCCAGUAGUCC
Molecule: ribosomal RNA, 424 nt
Filed under: uncultured bacterium
Lineage: Bacteria
Description: bacterial SSU rRNA
Rfam family: Bacterial small subunit ribosomal RNA
Source: RNAcentral